GCGCGAAGUGAUAGCAAAAUGUUGUAUGGAUUGUCUGGGUGACAUGCCUGUUUUCUAUGUAAACAUUUAAUAACUGUUUUUAAAUACAGUCAGUGCUCGCCAUCCGGUAUUUACGAGAAAAACUGUUUUUAAAUGAAGUUUUACCGUAGAAAAAAAUGAUUAUAAGGUCAUGUUAAAAAGGAAUUUCCUUAAGUGAUUUUAACUCCAAGAUUUUGUAUGAGAUUCAUAUCAUUUAAGGAUUGAUCUCUUAAAACUAGAGAGUUUAACGAAUACGACCAUUUAUAUGAGAUAAUUAUCUCGCUUGCAUUGAUUUAUAACCAACAAAAAAAACUUGAUCAAGGCAGUAAAUGUUUACCAGUGCUUAAAAACUUUUAUAGCCAAACAUGUCAGUAUAAGUAGCAGGUAUUACGCAGGGCAUUCCUUAAAACAUGGGUUAUUGUCGAACUAAAACGGACAAUGUUCAAACAUCACGCUCUGUUAGAACACUGAAUAAAGUUACUUGUUAAUAUACAUGUAUAUACAUGUAAAUAUAAAUCUUUAAUGGCAUCGAAUUUCUUCAUAUUACAAAUAAUAUAUAAUGGCAAUGAUAUUGUUUUACUCAAAUCAUUUUACUUAUUCGCAAGAAAAGAAUACAUGAAAAAACAAAGCACCACAAAUAUCGAAAGAGAAAACAAUUCUCAGAACUUCCCAUUUGCUGUUCAUUGUUGAAAUGACAUUGUGUAUUGUUUACUUAUAACAAUACUCAUCCAAGAUAAACAGCUUUCAUAAAUGCUUUUGUAUGUAUUUAAGGCUUAAUGGGGGUCCAUCCGCGCUUUCAGGCACUGAAACUACCGACCCCGGUAAAUGCUUUUUAAACAAUGAUAAUUAUUUAUAUGUCCGAUAUACAAGAAAGUCCCUUGUAAAUGAUAUUUUACUAAAUAUUUAGAAAGCACAAGAAAGCGAACGUGUAUAAACAUUCUGAAUUUAUUUGACGAGUUGACACUUUAUCCUGGAUGGUCUGUAAAAAUCUUUUUAUUGAUCUUGUUGUAUCAGGAAGCAUUCACAAAAGUUUGUCAUUUCAUUUCUAUAUUAGAUAUCUGGAUAUCAAUUUGUUUUCGUAAAAAGAACCACGACAAUGACGAAACUUGGACUUAUUCUGCUACUAUCAGUGCUUCUUCUAGGAAGCAUAGCACAUGUCAAUGGACAACGGAAGCAUCAGACAAACUUUUGCUGUUGGGUCAGAAAAUGUCCUCGCUCAACCCACUUUUGUCACGCGAUUGGAUCAGAAUGUCGAUGUCGUAGAAAGGGUUCGAGAUCCAUUGCCUGAAAGGAUGUGAAAUUCGACAUUAUAUCCGCUUACAACGUGUUUGGAAUAACUAAAUUUUGGAAUAACUACAUCGUUCUAUUUUGUCUUAGAUAUUUAGUGCAUAUUUGUGUGUAGAUAUUAAAUUUUCUGAUAGUGGGUGUUGUUUAGUACAAGUUAAUGCACUCAGUGUUCUACACUUCCGAAUAAUCUCAUGAGUUCGCGGCACGACAUUCCAUGUGUUUAUUAUGAAACAGUUCGUAGUUAACAUAUGAUAUUUUAAGAAUAUUAAACAAAUCUGAUAUAAUUGUUGAGAAUGUUAAGUUGAUGGUACACACUAAUACCUGUGUCAUGCUUAAAAAUGAAUUUUACACAUCAUUUUGUCAUUAUUAUCAAGAUCGUGUGCUAUCUAUUUUUAUCAUAAGAAUGAAAUUUGUAUUAAGCUGACGAUCGCACUGAAGUGGACAAACCUUGCAAUUGCUUCAUCUUUUUCUGGUUCCAGUAAUUUAUCAACUAAAUGUAAGCUUUGCUAUAUAAAUUUUCUGAUUACCUUUACAAUUUAAAUAUCGCUGUUGUACUUUUAUCAUCACAUAUAUUGCACAAUGACUACAACCUAGUUUUGGACAAAAAUGUUUUAAUGAGUUUUCAGACGGCACGUUUUGUACAUUUGAACAUUCCGUACACUGAAAAUUCAUUGCAAUGUAUACAAAAUUUCCUCCGGACUGUACGGUUAUCCUGACUUAGUUGGCACAAUUUUUCUCUUUGUAGAUCCUUGAACUUCUAGAAUAUCUGGAUUUAUGGUGCCAUUGCUGCCAUUGAAACAAUUGAUAGGGGGCGUCCGUGGCCGAGUGGUUAAGGUCGUUGACUUCUAACCACUUGCCCCUCACCGCUGUGGGUUCGAAUCCCGACAGGGACUUUGGAUUCUUUCAUGUGAGGAAGCUAUCCAGCUAGCUUACGGAACGUCGGUGGUUCUACUCAGGUGCCCGUUCGUGCCUGAAAUAAUGCACGGAAGGGCACCUGAGGUCUUCCUCCACCAGUAAAGCUGGAACGUCGCGAUAUGACCUAUACUGUGUCGAUGUGACGUUAAACCCAAAACAAACAAAAA
This is a long non-coding RNA of Ruditapes philippinarum (Manila clam), 2387 nucleotides long. RefSeq lists it as uncharacterized. NCBI's taxonomy places the organism in Eukaryota, Metazoa, Mollusca, Bivalvia, Venerida, Veneridae. The transcript has 2 exons. The record is from RefSeq and is a predicted model, not a curated record.